UCGCCUGUUUUAUCAAAAACAUGUCUUUUUGAAAAUAAUAAAAAGUCUAAUCUGCCCACUGAAUUUAUUUAAAGGGCUGCAGUAUAUUGACUGUACAAAGGUAGCAUAAUCAAUAGUCUUUUAAUUGAAGACUUGUAUGAAUGAUUUGAUGAAAUAUGAACUGUCUCUUUUUUAAAAAUAAAAUUUAAUUUUUUAGUUAAAAAGCUAAAAUAAUUAUAAAAGACGAGAAGACCCUAUAGAGUUUUAUAGUUAUUUAAUUUAAAAAUUUUAUAUAUAAUUUAAAUUUAAAAUUAAUUAAUUAUUUUAUUGGGGUGAUAGAAAAAUUAAAAAAACUUUUUUUAAAAAUUUAACAUUAAUUUAUGAAAUUAUGAUCCAUAAUUUAUGAUUAAAAGAAUCAAUUACCUUAGGGAUAACAGCGUAAUUUUUUUUUUUAGUACAAAUAAGAAAAAGAGUUUGCGACCUCGAUGUUGGAUUAAGAUAAAAUUUAAAUGCAAAAGUUUAAAAUUUUUGAUCUGUU
This is a ribosomal RNA of 517 nucleotides. The stretch from base 1 to 167 matches the Rfam family "Archaeal large subunit ribosomal RNA", at positions 1888 to 2099 of the family's 2987-position model.